AGAGAAUGGCGCUUCUUUAAUACAAGCAGUUCAGGAGGGAAGUGUUUCCAUGAACACUAUUUUCUUACAGGCUUAUCACAUAGGUGGAUCCAUUUGAACUGUAUCCUAGUAUGUACCAAAAGUUAGAGGCCCUCAUGGAUCUGGGAAAGUCUUAAGAGAUCCAGUGCCCUAGCAUCUGCCUCAAGAAGAUGAGCUCAAGGACCCACAAACCAGCACAGUUAACAAGAAGAUAGAAGACCCCUGAUUUGUAGAGCCACCAAGAGCCAUGGAGAGCCACCAGCUUGACCAUCAACUAGAUCUGAGCAGCUCUGCUCUCGGGUUUAAAUCCAGCAAGAGAGAGGUGAUCAGCCUGGAUCAACCCAGCAGGAGCUGCGUGUCCUGAAGUCGUUCUCCUGACAAAGUGAUCCCACACCUCCUUUUAUCUUCUAUUAGCCAGAAAACUAAGUUAAUUAGAAUCUGCCGUUUUCUGAAAACUUGGGUUAAUCAAAGUUUAUACGUAGUAGUUUUCCCCCCAGAACAGUAAAGCGAAGUGAUGUUUCCACGAAGAACUCAGUACUUAGUGAAGCUGCUGGGGUGGGAGGGGAUCCUCACUGAACCGGAACAUCAAUCCGUGCUCUGAAACAAACCUGAUGUUUCACUCUGUUUGGGCCGCAGUAAGAAACAAGCAUUCUGUAGGUGCUGCAGGAGAGAAUGCUUUGGAAUUUUCAGACUCCCACUGGGGAGCGAGGUAAGAUGGCUUGCUCUCUCUAAUUUCCAAGCAGCUGUCUUAGUACAUUUCCCUAUAUCUUCCUUUUCACAUGGACACCUCCUCCACGUGCCUUGGUCCUGGGACUUUGAUGGCUUUUCUGUGAGAUUUUCACAUUUUCACAUCUUUGCAUCUUCAUAGACUGAGCUAUACAAUGAUGACCUUCAUUUCAGACUGUUCUGAGGUGCUCCUUAAAAUCUCUAGGUAUGCCCCCCCCCCGAUACCAAUUCCCUCAGGAUGGGGAAAUUUAUGGAUCCUAGCCCACUCUCAAUAGACAUCAGAAAAUGGCUAGAUUAACUCAAAGUAACAGACCAUGGAACUAAAAAGGACUCAUAAAUUAACCAGCCCAACUCUCAGUUUGCAGGAUCAGCAAGCAAGUCAAGCCCGUGGCUUGGGUGAGAAGGAACCCAAGUCUUAGGUAAUAGAAUAUUCUGUGAUCAUGUUCAAGAUUUUUCAGGAUUCUGGAAGAGUAAGAAUUAAAUAAAGGGGACCUAAUGGUAGCUUAAGUUGGUAGAAUGUUUGGGGUGGGGGUGUAAAUGUCAUGCAGAAUUCAUAUAGCUUAAAUCUAUUGGAAUAAAUUCACUCUUAAGAAAUGAUUCU
This 1345-nucleotide long non-coding RNA is filed under the name Mus musculus (house mouse). RNAcentral describes it as "RIKEN cDNA 0710001A04 gene". The record is from RNAcentral. Lineage: Eukaryota; Metazoa; Chordata; Mammalia; Rodentia; Muridae.